This is a long non-coding RNA of Saccostrea cuccullata (small rock oyster), 191 nucleotides long. RefSeq lists it as uncharacterized. Lineage: Eukaryota; Metazoa; Mollusca; Bivalvia; Ostreida; Ostreidae. The record is from RefSeq and is a predicted model, not a curated record. The transcript has 3 exons.
AGAGACACUUUCUUCACAAGAAGAAGUAUUUUAAUACAGGAGAGUUGACUGCCUUCUGGGCAGACUUCAAGGCCUUUUUGGAAGAGAUCGAGAAGGAUGAACGCCCCCAGAAAUGGGAAAGACUCGAGGAAAUUGAUAGAAGAAGGGCUGAAAGGGUCAGAGACAACACAGAAGAAUAAUGUACCAUAGAG